RNAcentral lists this ribosomal RNA (157 nucleotides) under uncultured bacterium. RNAcentral's name for it is "partial 16S ribosomal RNA". It matches the Rfam family "Bacterial small subunit ribosomal RNA", at positions 330 to 479 of the family's 1533-position model. The record is from RNAcentral.
UCCAGACUCCUACGGGAGGCAGCAGUGGGGAAUUUUGGACAAUGGGGGAAAGCCUGAUCCAGCCAUGCGGGGUGUGUGAAGAAGGUUUUCGGAUUGUAAAGCACUUUGUGUUGGGAGGAAGGGCAUUUACCUACUACGUAAGUGUUUUGACGUUACC